Molecule: RNA transcript, 3018 nt
Organism: Leguminivora glycinivorella
Lineage: Eukaryota; Metazoa; Arthropoda; Insecta; Lepidoptera; Tortricidae
Gene: Marcal1
Gene name: SWI/SNF-related matrix-associated actin-dependent regulator of chromatin subfamily A-like protein 1
Exons: 14
Source: RefSeq, a predicted model, not a curated record
UUAUUUGUAAAAUGGAACGUUUUACUGUUUAAGAUAGCUAUUAAGGCUCUACUCAAGUCUUAUGUUUGAAGAAUAGGACUUUUUUAUAUAUUUCUCAAACGAUAAAGACAUAUGACACUUUGACAGUGACAAUGACAGUUUGAGAAAUCAAAUCAGUUGAAAAAAUACCAGUGCGCGUUACGCGGUUAUACUGUUACUGUUUUUCUUUUAGAACUUAAAAGCGUACAUUUCCGGUCGUAAAAAGUUAAAACCAAACUGAGCAAGCUAUUAUGGCUUGCUCAAAGGAAGAUAUUGAGAGAAAGCGUCUCGCUGCGUUACAAAAGCGUCAAAACAAGGCACAAGAUCAAAACAAAUCUAUUGUGUGUUCUCCAUCACCAAGCAGCACACCGUCCCCUCGGACUCCUCUAAGCCAACCUUGGGCUGGUCCCAUACGGAACUCUGGUAACUUUGGUGCUGGCAGUAGAAGUUUUCAUCCUUACGCGAAGCCGGAAAGCAGCGGAGCGGAAAAUAGUGUGCCGGUUACUAAAGUUGUGAGUGGUACUGUUUACCUCAUAUCUGAAGAGAGGUUCGAGGUUAAUCCGUCGGAGUUCUGCCCUCCGCUUAUUAAUGUGUUUAAAACUAUACCUUCUAAGAGCUAUGAUCCCUCAUCCAAGCUAUGGAACUUCUCCAUAAAUGACUACCAAGAUCUGAUGUCCAAGGUGGCGCCACUAGCCCCCCACAUAGUGCUUGGAGCCCUGCCGCAGUUUGUGCUGAAGAUCCUUAGGACGCAGAUCACAGACCCGAGGACUUUGGAUUUGUCACCUAUUGAGUCUACACUUCGGCAUAAGUUGAUGCCAUUUCAAGAAGAUGGAGUUAGAUUUGGCAUAGCACACCGUGGACGCUGCAUGAUAGCUGAUGACAUGGGCCUUGGGAAGACCUUCCAAGCUCUGGCUAUUGCCAGCUAUUAUAAGCAUAACUUUCCUUUGCUUAUCGUGACUACUUCUUCUAUGAGGGAAACCUGGCAGAGUAAGAUCCAUGAGCUGCUGCCCACCAUCCCGAUGAUGAAUAUCAUCACACUCAGCAGUAAUAAGGAUGCACAACUCGUUGCCGACAGACAGACUCAAAUUGUGAUAGUAAGCUACAAGAUGGUGACAAUACACAAGGAUCUGCUCAGAGACAAGAAGUUUGGGAUUGUUAUAAUAGAUGAAUCUCAUCAAGUGAAGACCCCAAACGCCAAAUGCACUAUAGCACUCAAGAGCAUCUCAAAACUGAGUGCAAGAAUGAUUCUGUUGAGUGGUACGCCCGCACUGAGUCGGCCUAUUGAGCUUUACACUCAAUUAGAGCUUAUUGAGCCUAAGCUAUUUAACUCCUAUAAUGAGUACGGUAAAAGGUACUGUGCAGCUAAGCAAACCAACUUCGGCUGGGACAUGACCGGGCAGUCCAACUUGGCCGAACUUCAGGUUAUACUGCAAAAGCGAUUCCUCAUCAGGCGCACCAAGGAAGAGGUCCUCACCGAACUGGAGCAGAAGACCAGAGAAUCAGUGCUCCUAGAUGAGACCCUUCUAGAAUUCAGCAAGGAAGACAGAACAGGUCUCUCGCAGAUGGCGGAAUCCUACCGAUCGUCGAGAGCUUCGGAACGGCAUACUGCGCUUUUGAACUUCUUUGGCGAGUCGGCCCGUGUCAAGAUACCCGCUAUAUGUAAAUACAUCCGCCAACUGCUAAGCAGUUUCUCGGACAAGUUUCUAGUGUUCGCCCACCACCGCGCCGUCAUCGACGCGAUCUGCUCCACGCUGGACGAGGAGGAGCUGCACUACAUCUGUAUCACGGGUUCGACUCCCACCUCGGCUAGAGCCGAUUUAGUGGACAAGUUCCAAUACGUUGAGUCCUGUCGGUGCGGGGUGCUGUCUAUAACAGCAGCCAACAGCGGGCUCACACUCACUGCCGCUAGACUAGUGCUGUUCGCCGAAUUACACUGGAAUCCUGGGAUUUUGACGCAGGCGGAAUCGCGCGCGCAUCGAAUAGGGCAGCAAGGAGGCGUGUGCGCACGAUAUUUGUUAGCGAGAGGGACCUGUGACGACUAUAUGUGGCCUAUGUUGCAAGGGAAACUCAAUGUACUGAACAACGUGGGUCUCAGUGGUGACUCGUUCGAAGGCACCACCACCAAACACCAAGAGAGCAAAACCAACAUAACCCAGUACCUAAGCCCGCAAUGUCCAAAAAACCCCAACGACUACAUUCCAGGCACCAACAUAAGGAAGGACGCUCAAAAACCACAAACACAUAAAAAUAACUACAAUUCAUUUGCCGAGUCUAACCCACAGACAUAUAAAAACAACAACUGUUCAUCUGCCGAGUCGAAUCCACAGACAAAUCAUGAUUCUAGUGUUAGUCAAAAUUUUACAUCAUUAGGUGACUUUGACGAGCCUUUUGAUGUGGACGCUGAUAUGACUAAGUCGUUUUUGGAUGAUGAUGAAGGUGAUGAAUUGUUGGCAGCGUUGGACUUAUGAUAUUAGAUUAAGAUUGUUGAGUUAAAAAUAAUUCUACUAUCGCAGAAUGCAUAAUUGUGGACGGUCAACCAAAUCUUGGCACUAAAAAAGGCGCGAAAUACAUCGCUCGUCGAUGAUCCCGCCAACGUCAAGGUGUAUGAAGAGAAUUCGCCGCUAGACCCUACAUUUUUCAAAUUUUCCGUCUUUUAUUAGUGCCAACAUUUGUUUAAUGGUCUAUAAUUCACAAUCACACAGAUAUUUCACUCAUUCGUGUCAGUUCUUAUGAAUUGACCUGUAUUUGAACUUUCUCUCAGUUUCAGUGCAAAGAAAUAAAAAAAACAUUAUUUUACCUUUUUUCCAAACGUUUCUGGCAGGUUCCAUUAGCCGUGGUCGCGGAAGACCAGUCAACCUGGCCUGUGCAACUUAGCCGAAACGUUGCAAAAAAGGUAAAAUCUCAGAGCAAAAAACUUAAAUCUGUGGGUAAAAUAAUGUUAAUUAAUCGCGUUCGACCUGUGUCUGACUUUAAAUAUGUGUACAGUCGACUACAAAGAGA